Molecule: transfer RNA, 75 nt
Filed under: Patescibacteria group bacterium
Lineage: Bacteria
Description: tRNA-Arg
Rfam family: tRNA
About the family: Transfer RNA (tRNA) molecules are approximately 80 nucleotides in length.
Source: RNAcentral
GCGCCAGUAGCUCAGCGGAUUAGAGCAGCGGUCUUCGGAACCGCGUGUCGGGGGUUCGAGUCCCUCCUGGCGCAC